Molecule: ribosomal RNA, 280 nt
Filed under: uncultured bacterium
Lineage: Bacteria
Description: partial 16S ribosomal RNA
Rfam family: Bacterial small subunit ribosomal RNA
Source: RNAcentral
CCUGCCGUUGCCGGCGACCGGCGCACGGGUGAGUAACACGUAUGCAACCUGCCCGUGGCAGGGGGAUAAGCGGGGGAAACCCCGUCUAAUACCGCGUAACGCGGCCUUGGGGCAUCCCAAGGCCGCCAAAGGGAGCAAUCCCGGCCACGGAUGGGCAUGCGGCGCAUUAGCUAGUCGGCGGGGUAACGGCCCACCGGGGCGACGAUGCGUAGGGGUUCUGAGAGGAAGGCCCCCCACACUGGUACUGAGACACGGACCAGACUCCUACGGGAGGCAGCAG